UUUGUAUUACAUGCGGAAAUUGUUACCAUUUUUGAGCCGAAAAUCUCGCCGAAAAUGGUAACAAUUUCUGCACGUAAUACAAA
Non-coding RNA from Paramuricea clavata, 83 nucleotides. Lineage: Eukaryota; Metazoa; Cnidaria; Anthozoa; Malacalcyonacea; Plexauridae. The record is from the annotation of a GenBank genome assembly.